AAUGUCUAUAAGUGUUUGAAUUGCAUCUAAAUAUGUAAUUAAUACAAAACCAAGAACAAAAUCAAUUUAGCUCCAUAACUAGCUCCAAUCUUAAUCUGUAAUGAAGGAGGGCAAAGGCCAUCUCUAACUGCACAUAACUUCCUGCAUUCACCAUUCCGUUACAUACAGAGACCAAUUGAUAGACAAAAAAAUGGCAGGAAAGCAGAUCUCAAGAUCCAAGUCACGAAUCAUCCUGUUAGCACUCUCCCUACUCGGUUUCUCUCUCCUCAUCUUCCUUUCAUCUCUCUCCCCCCUCCGCACUUCCUCUCCUUCCUCCCCCACCCAUUUCCACCUUCCCACUUCCCACACUUCAUUCGUCGCCUCCCUCGAACACUUCCUCACCAUACCCCACUCCGAACACACUCUCCCCCAACUAGACGUCAACAACCUCGACGACGCCAUUUUCAAUUCCGAAUCUGAUAGACUCUAUUCCCAUCCAUAUUACCCUAUUACUCUUCCCCUUAGGGUUUACGUCUACAACAUGCCCUCCAAAUUCACCUACGAUUUGCUUCGGCUUUUUAUAAAUACCUACAGAGAUACCUCCAAUCUCACCUCCAACGGUAGCCCCGUUCACCGUCUCAUCGAACAGCACUCCAUUGAUUACUGGCUUUGGGCUGAUCUCAUUGCUCCUCAAUCUGAAAGACUUUUGAAAAGCGUUGUUAGGGUUCAUCGGCAAGAAGAUGCUGACUUGUUCUAUGUUCCCUUCUUCACCACUAUUAGCUUCUUUCUCUUGGAAAAACAACAAUGCAAGGCCCUUUAUAGGGAAGCUUUGAAGUGGAUCACUGAUCAACCUGCUUGGAAGCGUUCUGGUGGAAGGGAUCAUAUUAUCCCCGUGCAUCAUCCGUGGUCUUUUAAAUCUGUUAGGAGAUCCGUGAAAAAAGCAAUAUGGUUGUUGCCGGAUAUGGAUUCCACGGGGAACUGGUACAAGCCGGGGCAGGUUUAUCUUGAGAAAGACCUGAUUCUUCCCUAUGUUCCCAAUGUUGAUUUUUGUGAUGCUCAAUGUUUGUCUGAAAUAAAUCCCAAGAGAAGUACGCUUCUCUUCUUCCGGGGCCGGCUCAAAAGAAAUGCGGGUGGAAAGAUACGUUCUAAACUUACAGAUCAAUUAAGUGGAGCUGAUGGUGUAAUUAUAGAGGAGGGAACUUCCGGAGAGAGGGGGAAAGAAGCAGCUCAAAAUGGCAUGCGCAAGUCUCUAUUUUGCCUAAGCCCUGCUGGUGACACUCCGUCCUCUGCUAGAUUAUUUGAUGCCAUUGUUAGUGGCUGCAUUCCAGUUAUAAUAAGUGAUGAGCUGGAGCUUCCUUUCGAAGGAAUACUUGAUUACAGGAAGAUAGCUUUGUUUGUUUCAUCCAAUGAUGCCCUAAAGCCAGGUUAUCUCUUGAAAUAUUUAAAAGACAUUCAACCUACUCAUAUAAAAGAAAUGCAACAAAAUCUUGCCAAGUACUCGAGGCAUUUCCUGUAUUCCAGUCCAGCUCAACCGUUGGGUCCUGAAGACUUGGUUUGGAAAAUGGCAACAAUCCAAACCAAGUGGCUCCUUCACCUGGGAAAAUUCUCUGAAACUGCUAUGUUUCAAGACUACUGGGUCUUAUGAAGCAUGUCAUGGAAACGACAGUCAAGACUUGUUUCUGCAGCUGUGGCUAUGUUUAUGUUGGCUUUGACAAGGGUGAUAUUGCAGAAGUGUCUUGCUGCGUGCAGAAGACAGGAACAAAAUGGCAAUUUUGUAGUUGUAAAAAUAAAUUAAUAAUUUAUUCCAUCCCAUGUCUCCCAAAUUAGGAGGGAACAAAAAUGAUAUUAAGUGAUCAGCUGUGAGAUGGAAUAGAUGUCAUCGAGUUCAAUUCCAUUUCAUCAUUCUUUCUAGAAUCUAAACAAAUGGAACAUAUCAAUCACAUUUUAUUCCUCUCCAUUUAAUAACAUUCCAUCAACCCAAACAUACCCUAAAAGAAAGGUGGAGCUCAAAAUGUUGAAAGGUUUAAUAAUAUUGACGACAUGUAGGCUGCAGCUCCCUAAAAGAAAGGUGGUUUAUUACUUUAGUAUUUGGCUUACUGGUGUUAUGGAAUUUGGAAAAUUUCAGCUUUGCUAACAAACUAUGACUACAGCUUUACAGUUUCUAGAUGUUACUAGGUAGGGUUAUGAAUUUGAGUAAACCUCCGCAAGUAGGCCAAUGAGAUGUGCUAUAAGGUUAAGAAGGAUGGCGGGCAAGGUGGUGAACAUCAAGCUUCAUACCCGAAGAUCUCAACGUGUAGUGGAAGGAUCACGAAAUCUGUGCACAUGUGAAUGCAGACCUG
Molecule: RNA transcript, 2318 nt
Organism: Cicer arietinum (chickpea)
Lineage: Eukaryota; Viridiplantae; Streptophyta; Magnoliopsida; Fabales; Fabaceae
Gene name: probable arabinosyltransferase ARAD1
Source: RefSeq, a predicted model, not a curated record